RNAcentral lists this ribosomal RNA (2900 nucleotides) under Escherichia coli 6-537-08_S1_C3. RNAcentral's name for it is "bacterial LSU rRNA". It matches the Rfam family "Bacterial large subunit ribosomal RNA". Lineage: Bacteria; Pseudomonadati; Pseudomonadota; Gammaproteobacteria; Enterobacterales; Enterobacteriaceae. The record is from RNAcentral.
UAAGCGACUAAGCGUACACGGUGGAUGCCCUGGCAGUCAGAGGCGAUGAAGGACGUGCUAAUCUGCGAUAAGCGUCGGUAAGGUGAUAUGAACCGUUAUAACCGGCGAUUUCCGAAUGGGGAAACCCAGUGUGAUUCGUCACACUAUCAUUAACUGAAUCCAUAGGUUAAUGAGGCGAACCGGGGGAACUGAAACAUCUAAGUACCCCGAGGAAAAGAAAUCAACCGAGAUUCCCCCAGUAGCGGCGAGCGAACGGGGAGCAGCCCAGAGCCUGAAUCAGUGUGUGUGUUAGUGGAAGCGUCUGGAAAGGCGCGCGAUACAGGGUGACAGCCCCGUACACAAAAAUGCACAUAUUGUGAGCUCGAUGAGUAGGGCGGGACACGUGGUAUCCUGUCUGAAUAUGGGGGGACCAUCCUCCAAGGCUAAAUACUCCUGACUGACCGAUAGUGAACCAGUACCGUGAGGGAAAGGCGAAAAGAACCCCGGCGAGGGGAGUGAAAAAGAACCUGAAACCGUGUACGUACAAGCAGUGGGAGCCUCUUUUAUGGGGUGACUGCGUACCUUUUGUAUAAUGGGUCAGCGACUUAUAUUCUGUAGCAAGGUUAACCGAAUAGGGGAGCCGAAGGGAAACCGAGUCUUAACUGGGCGUUAAGUUGCAGGGUAUAGACCCGAAACCCGGUGAUCUAGCCAUGGGCAGGUUGAAGGUUGGGUAACACUAACUGGAGGACCGAACCGACUAAUGUUGAAAAAUUAGCGGAUGACUUGUGGCUGGGGGUGAAAGGCCAAUCAAACCGGGAGAUAGCUGGUUCUCCCCGAAAGCUAUUUAGGUAGCGCCUCGUGAAUUCAUCUCCGGGGGUAGAGCACUGUUUCGGCAAGGGGGUCAUCCCGACUUACCAACCCGAUGCAAACUGCGAAUACCGGAGAAUGUUAUCACGGGAGACACACGGCGGGUGCUAACGUCCGUCGUGAAGAGGGAAACAACCCAGACCGCCAGCUAAGGUCCCAAAGUCAUGGUUAAGUGGGAAACGAUGUGGGAAGGCCCAGACAGCCAGGAUGUUGGCUUAGAAGCAGCCAUCAUUUAAAGAAAGCGUAAUAGCUCACUGGUCGAGUCGGCCUGCGCGGAAGAUGUAACGGGGCUAAACCAUGCACCGAAGCUGCGGCAGCGACGCUUAUGCGUUGUUGGGUAGGGGAGCGUUCUGUAAGCCUGUGAAGGUGUGCUGUGAGGCAUGCUGGAGGUAUCAGAAGUGCGAAUGCUGACAUAAGUAACGAUAAAGCGGGUGAAAAGCCCGCUCGCCGGAAGACCAAGGGUUCCUGUCCAACGUUAAUCGGGGCAGGGUGAGUCGACCCCUAAGGCGAGGCCGAAAGGCGUAGUCGAUGGGAAACAGGUUAAUAUUCCUGUACUUGGUGUUACUGCGAAGGGGGGACGGAGAAGGCUAUGUUGGUCGGGCGACGGUUGUCCCGGUUUAAGCGUGUAGGCUGGUUUUCCAGGCAAAUCCGGAAAAUCAAGGCUGAGGCGUGAUGACGAGGCACUACGGUGCUGAAGCAACAAAUGCCCUGCUUCCAGGAAAAGCCUCUAAGCAUCAGGUAACAUCAAAUCGUACCCCAAACCGACACAGGUGGUCAGGUAGAGAAUACCAAGGCGCUUGAGAGAACUCGGGUGAAGGAACUAGGCAAAAUGGUGCCGUAACUUCGGGAGAAGGCACGCUGAUAUGUAGGUGAAGUCCCUCGCGGAUGGAGCUGAAAUCAGUCGAAGAUACCAGCUGGCUGCAACUGUUUAUUAAAAACACAGCACUGUGCAAACACGAAAGUGGACGUAUACGGUGUGACGCCUGCCCGGUGCCGGAAGGUUAAUUGAUGGGGUCAGCGCAAGCGAAGCUCUUGAUCGAAGCCCCGGUAAACGGCGGCCGUAACUAUAACGGUCCUAAGGUAGCGAAAUUCCUUGUCGGGUAAGUUCCGACCUGCACGAAUGGCGUAAUGAUGGCCAGGCUGUCUCCACCCGAGACUCAGUGAAAUUGAACUCGCUGUGAAGAUGCAGUGUACCCGCGGCAAGACGGAAAGACCCCGUGAACCUUUACUAUAGCUUGACACUGAACAUUGAGCCUUGAUGUGUAGGAUAGGUGGGAGGCUUUGAAGUGUGGACGCCAGUCUGCAUGGAGCCGACCUUGAAAUACCACCCUUUAAUGUUUGAUGUUCUAACGUUGACCCGUAAUCCGGGUUGCGGACAGUGUCUGGUGGGUAGUUUGACUGGGGCGGUCUCCUCCUAAAGAGUAACGGAGGAGCACGAAGGUUGGCUAAUCCUGGUCGGACAUCAGGAGGUUAGUGCAAUGGCAUAAGCCAGCUUGACUGCGAGCGUGACGGCGCGAGCAGGUGCGAAAGCAGGUCAUAGUGAUCCGGUGGUUCUGAAUGGAAGGGCCAUCGCUCAACGGAUAAAAGGUACUCCGGGGAUAACAGGCUGAUACCGCCCAAGAGUUCAUAUCGACGGCGGUGUUUGGCACCUCGAUGUCGGCUCAUCACAUCCUGGGGCUGAAGUAGGUCCCAAGGGUAUGGCUGUUCGCCAUUUAAAGUGGUACGCGAGCUGGGUUUAGAACGUCGUGAGACAGUUCGGUCCCUAUCUGCCGUGGGCGCUGGAGAACUGAGGGGGGCUGCUCCUAGUACGAGAGGACCGGAGUGGACGCAUCACUGGUGUUCGGGUUGUCAUGCCAAUGGCACUGCCCGGUAGCUAAAUGCGGAAGAGAUAAGUGCUGAAAGCAUCUAAGCACGAAACUUGCCCCGAGAUGAGUUCUCCCUGACCCUUUAAGGGUCCUGAAGGAACGUUGAAGACGACGACGUUGAUAGGCCGGGUGUGUAAGCGCAGCGAUGCGUUGAGCUAACCGGUACUAAUGAACCGUGAGGCUUAACCU